RNAcentral lists this long non-coding RNA (332 nucleotides) under Strongylocentrotus purpuratus (purple sea urchin). Its description in RNAcentral is "uncharacterized LOC115925584". Lineage: Eukaryota; Metazoa; Echinodermata; Echinoidea; Camarodonta; Strongylocentrotidae. The record is from RNAcentral.
AAAGGGGUAAAUUAAUUAUUAAUUUAAAGGAGCCAUGUUAAUGUGAUCGUUUAUGAGAGUUAGUUUAUCUGACAAAAAGGAGUAUUCUGACUUACGUCAUGGGCUGAAAUAGCGCCAUCUACGCUUUCCUAAUUCCGACAUAGCAGUAGCAACGAAUUGGAUGUUCGCACCGAAAUCUUGUCCUAAAUUACACCUGUUAUUGAUACGAAGCCAACCCGUUUGCAACAAUAAGGAGGCAAGAAGUUUUCACGGAGCAAGUGUGAUGGAAUUAGUUGACAUAGAAUAAAUUAGCAAGUCAACCCUACUACGACUUUUCAUUGACUGUUUCUUCA